This is a non-coding RNA of Schistosoma rodhaini, 48 nucleotides long. NCBI's taxonomy places the organism in Eukaryota, Metazoa, Platyhelminthes, Trematoda, Strigeidida, Schistosomatidae. The record is from Rfam.
AUCCAACUGACGAGUCCCAAAUAGGACGAAACGUGCACCAAACUGGAU